This 287-nucleotide unclassified non-coding RNA is filed under the name Hevea brasiliensis (rubber tree). The record is from RNAcentral. Lineage: Eukaryota; Viridiplantae; Streptophyta; Magnoliopsida; Malpighiales; Euphorbiaceae.
AACAGACAGAACAUGAAUAAAUCAUUUGGCCUGCAUCACUUGAGAAGAGAUCUAGCCAAAUGUUCACGGGCAGUGGCUAGGGCUUGAGAAAUAGUCUGCUCAGAGAAGGAUGUUGCACCUUCCAAACCAUGUGUCGCUACUUUACCAGCAAUGACGCUCGAUUCGGUUUCCAAGACAAUACCUCCAUCAACAAUUUCGUCGAGGCAUAAAAGGAUCAAAUCCAGGUUCUCAAGUGCUGUCCUCUUGUCGACAUUGCUCCUCAGAAGAAGGCCAACUGCAUCAAAAAA